CGCGUAGGUGGUUCGUUAAGUUGGAUGUGAAAUCUCCGAGCUCAACUCGGAAAUGGCAUUGGAAACUACCCUGCUGGAGGGUCGGGAGGGGGGACUGGAAUUCUCGGUGUAGCAGUGAAAUGCGUAGAUAUCGAGAGGAACACCAGUGGCGAAGGCGAGUCCCUGGACGACUCCUGACACUGAGGCACGAAAGCUAGGGAGCAAACA
This 207-nucleotide ribosomal RNA is filed under the name uncultured bacterium. RNAcentral's name for it is "partial 16S ribosomal RNA". It matches the Rfam family "Bacterial small subunit ribosomal RNA", at positions 568 to 774 of the family's 1533-position model. The record is from RNAcentral.